RNAcentral lists this ribosomal RNA (1294 nucleotides) under Penthetor lucasii (Lucas's short-nosed fruit bat). RNAcentral describes it as "Penthetor lucasi (Lucas's short-nosed fruit bat) partial 16S ribosomal RNA". It matches the Rfam family "Bacterial large subunit ribosomal RNA", at positions 686 to 2724 of the family's 2925-position model. Lineage: Eukaryota; Metazoa; Chordata; Mammalia; Chiroptera; Pteropodidae. The record is from RNAcentral.
AACUUGACAAAGAGAACUUAAGCCAAGCACCCCGAAACCAGACGAGCUACCCAAGAGCAGCUAUCAGAGCAAACUCAUCUAUGUGGCAAAAUAGUGAGAANGACUUCUGGGUAGAGGUGAAAAGCCUACCGAGCCUGGUGAUAGCUGGUUGUCCAGAAUAGAAUUUCAGUUCAACUUUAAGCCUUGCCUAAAAGACUAUCAACUCAAAUGCAGGCUUAAAAUAUAAUCUAAAAGGGUACAGCCUUUUAGAAACAGGAUACAACCUUCAAUAGAGAGUAAGCAAACCAAAACCACAUAGUUGGCCUAAAAGCAGCCACCAAUUAAGAAAGCGUUCAAGCUCAAAGAUUCUAUAAACCUUAAUCCAAACAAUAACCCGCGAACUCCUAACCUAAUACUGGACCAUUCUAUUGCACCAUAGAAGAAAUACUGUUAAUAUGAGUAACAAGAAUCAUAUUCUCCCUGCACAAGCCUAUAUCAGAACGGAUAAUCCACUGAUAGUUAACAGCAAGAUAAACCCACGCCACAACUAAAACACUUAUCAAACCAACUGUUGACCCGACACAGGAGUGCUCCCAGGAAAGAUUAAAAGAAGUAAAAGGAACUCGGCAAACACAAACCCCGCCUGUUUACCAAAAACAUCACCUCCAGCAUAACAACUAUUGGAGGCACUGCCUGCCCAGUGACAUCUGUUAAACGGCCGCGGUAUCCUGACCGUGCAAAGGUAGCAUAAUCAUUUGUUCUCUAAAUAGGGACUUGUAUGAAUGGCCACACGAGGGUUUAACUGUCUCUUACUUCCAAUCAGUGAAAUUGACCUUCCCGUGAAGAGGCGGGAAUAAACAAAUAAGACGAGAAGACCCUAUGGAGCUUUAAUUAACUGGCCCAUAAACACAACAACAACAAUCUAAGGAAACAAAAACCACUUUACUGAGCCAGCAAUUUAGGUUGGGGUGACCUCGGAAUACAAAAAAACUUCCGAGUGAUUAAAAUCUAGACCCACAAGUCAAAAUACCUAAUCACUUAUUGAUCCAAAAAGCUUGAUCAACGGAACAAGUUACCCUAGGGAUAACAGCGCAAUCCUAUUUGAGAGUCCAUAUCGAUAAUAGGGUUUACGACCUCGAUGUUGGAUCAGGACAUCCCAAUGGUGCAGCCGCUAUUAACGGUUCGUUUGUUCAACGAUUAAAGUCCUACGUGAUCUGAGUNUCAGACCGGAGCAAUCCAGGUCGGUUUCUAUCUAUUAUGCGUUCCUCCCAGUACGAAAGGACAAGAGAAACGGGGCCAACCCAACACGAGCGCC